This 1254-nucleotide long non-coding RNA is filed under the name Homo sapiens (human). Its description in RNAcentral is "long non-coding RNA NONHSAT177125". Lineage: Eukaryota; Metazoa; Chordata; Mammalia; Primates; Hominidae. The record is from RNAcentral.
AUUCUAGAUACCGAGGAAGUUGUCCACAGAGGGAAAAAAUUAUACCAAGAAGCAAGAGAGCCUGUUUUCUGACCCCCUCUCAGUCACUUGGUAAUUAUUAUUCCUCAAUCUUCACAUCUGAGGAUAUAACUAUUUUACCUGACUGAAGACAGAAGGGGUAUACCAGAUGGUUUCACCAAGAUCCAUCAAAUUCUAGUCAAAGAUUCUUCCAUUUUAAUUAAGCCCAUUGCUUCCUGUUUGAUCUUCUAAGGGCAGAGAAUAACAAUGUAAGCUCUGACCAUUUAAAAAAAUCAUCAUUCCUGCUCUAAUCAUCUCAAACCAUUCAUUCACUGGUCAUCCCGGGAAGGUCAACAGCAAUCUCCGAAGAGUCUGGUACCACGUCCUCCUCACAAGUCACUGCUAUAAGACUGACACUUAUCAAAAUGUCUGCCCAUCUCCACAGAGACGCUCCUAAUGUGCCUUGUUUCUGCUUUAUGACAAUGACCUUGGUUACAGCCAGUUGGUCCAGGAAUAGGCACCUGACCCAGUCUGGGCCAAUCUGGCCCCCUCUCUUGGGAAUGGUGACCAAAAGAGUCUGUCUCAGCAGAAACUGGAAAUGUAACAUAAACAGUCAUAAGCCAGGGGCCUGCUGGCAGUGCCAUGGGGGCUAAAGAACAGAAAAGGCUAGUCUACAAAGAAAGAAGAGAAUGAAAUUGAUGUCCAAGAAAACUGGAUUCAAGACACCAGAGAGAAAAUGAGCCAACCCAUUCACACUUCCAGGCCCUUUCUGAGGCAUGACAAUGUGGCAGAAUGUAUUUUCCAAUAUUUUCCAUCCCAUACGCUCUUCCAGAACCUUGCCACUGCAUCAAAAGAUGGUGUCUAUAUCCCUUCCGCCUGAAACGGUGAGCCUUUGUGACUGCUCACACUUCUAGGAUGUGGCAGAAGUGACGCUGUGUGAUUGCUGAGGCUAGAUCAUAAAAGGCAACACAGCUUGCACACAGCUCUAUCUCUUUGGACACUCAUCCUUGGAAUGGCAGCCACCAUGCUCUGAGGAAGCACAGGUCACAUGGAGCGCCCCACUUGGAGACAAAUGGAGGCCCCCCAGCCCUCAGUGCUGGCUGAGCAACCAGCAGACAGCCAGCACCAACCUGCCACCAGGUGAGUGUGCCAUCUUGAAAGCAGAUCCUCCAGUCCCAGUGAAACCAGCCCAGGUAACACCACAUGAAGCAGAGGUGAGACUUCCCCACUGAGCUCCAUGUAAAUUGCAGAUUCAGG